UAGGGAAUCUUCGGCAAUGGGGGCAACCCUGACCGAGCAACGCCGCGUGAGUGAAGAAGGUUUUCGGAUCGUAAAGCUCUGUUGUAAGUCAAGAACGAGUGUGAGAGUGGAAAGUUCACAUUGUGACGGUAGCUUACCAGAAAGGGACGGCUAACUACGUGCCAGCAGCCGCGGUAAUACGUAGGUCCCGAGCGUUGUCCGGAUUUAUUGGGCGUAAAGCGAGCGCAGGCGGUUUGAUAAGUCUGAAGUUAAAGACUGUGGCUCAACCAUAGUUCGCUUUGGAAACUGUCAAACUUGAGUGCAGAAGGGGAGAGUGGAAUUCCAUGUGUAGCGGUGAAAUGCGUAGAUAUAUGGAGGAACACCGGUGGCGAAAGCGGCUCUCUGGUCUGUAACUGACGCUGAGGCUCGAAAGCGUGGGGAGCGAACAGGAUUAGAUACCCUGGUAGUCCACGCCGUAAACGAUGAGUGCUAGGUGUUGGAUCCUUUCCGGGAUUCAGUGCCGCAGCUAACGCAUUAAGCACUCCGCCUGGGGAGUACGACCGCAAGGUUG
This 550-nucleotide ribosomal RNA is filed under the name uncultured bacterium. Its description in RNAcentral is "bacterial SSU rRNA". It matches the Rfam family "Bacterial small subunit ribosomal RNA", at positions 355 to 896 of the family's 1533-position model. The record is from RNAcentral.